AGGGGAGAGAGGGCCGGCGGAGGCCGCACAGACCCUGCUCCGGCUGCUUCUCCGUCCUGAGCGAGGAGUCACAGUCCAUGCCCUGGAAUUCCCGUGAGGAGGAUGUGGCUCAGCCAGGCGGGAGAGGAAGAGCCCGGCGGGAGGACCCGGAUCCGGCACAUCCCGCGGGACACCCCGGCCGUGUCCUGCUGCCGUGACACGUCACAACAGAGCCCCAGCAGGAUCCCCGGGCUGGGCAGGGACCCCCACGCAGGGCCCCCCAGGAUGCUCCAAACACCCAACAGCGCAGUGGGAAGUGAUGCCGGAGGACGGGAGCAAUGCCAGCGGCUGGGAACAGCCCCAUGCCAGGAGAGAGCCAGGGGCUCAGCCGCCCCCUCCCUGCCCUGAGCUGAGUCCCACAGCCCCCCCACUCCCCAAAAUCCCUCUGGGGGCAGCUGCCCCUCCCUUUUCCAAGCUCCCAAAUAAAGCCGGAGCACCGGAGGGAGUGGAUGUGUUUGGGACACACACGUGGUGGGUGAUUCCUGAUGGGGUGACCCCACUCUGGGGGUGCUGCUCCUGCUCCAGCCCUGCUCCCACCCAUCCCAGCCCUCCCCACACUCCUCACAUCGCCAGGGAUCCCCUCCUUGGCACA
This is a long non-coding RNA of Manacus vitellinus (golden-collared manakin), 631 nucleotides long. RefSeq lists it as uncharacterized. The transcript is spliced from 4 exons. NCBI's taxonomy places the organism in Eukaryota, Metazoa, Chordata, Aves, Passeriformes, Pipridae. The record is from RefSeq and is a predicted model, not a curated record.